GUCUAUGGCCAUUCCACCCUAAACACACCCAAUCUUGUCUGAUCUUGGAAGCUAAGCAGGGUGGGGCCUGGUUAGUACUUGGAUGGGAGAAAGAUGUUCAGAGGAGACUGAUCAGAGACAAGCUGUUUGGAGACA
RNAcentral lists this ribosomal RNA (135 nucleotides) under Castor canadensis (American beaver). The record is from RNAcentral. Lineage: Eukaryota; Metazoa; Chordata; Mammalia; Rodentia; Castoridae.